RNAcentral lists this ribosomal RNA (468 nucleotides) under uncultured bacterium. RNAcentral describes it as "partial 16S ribosomal RNA". It matches the Rfam family "Bacterial small subunit ribosomal RNA", at positions 28 to 507 of the family's 1533-position model. The record is from RNAcentral.
GACGAACGCUGGCGGCGUGCUUAACACAUGCAAGUCGAACGGAAAGGCCCUGCUUUUGUGGGGUGCUCGAGUGGCGAACGGGUGAGUAACACGUGAGUAACCUGCCCUUGACUUUGGGAUAACUUCAGGAAACUGGGGCUAAUACCGGAUAGGAGCUCCUGCUGCAUGGUGGGGGUUGGAAAGUUUCGGCGGUUGGGGAUGGACUCGCGGCUUAUCAGCUUGUUGGUGGGGUAGUGGCUUACCAAGGCUUUGACGGGUAGCCGGCCUGAGAGGGUGACCGGCCACAUUGGGACUGAGAUACGGCCCAGACGCCUACGGGAGGCAGCAGUGGGGAAUAUUGCACAAUCGGCGGAAGCCUGAUGCAGCAACGCCGCGUGCGGGAUGACGGCCUUCGGGUUGUAAACCGCUUUCGCCUGUGACGAAGCGUGAGUGACGGUAAUGGGUAAAGAAGCACCGGCUAACUACGUG